GAACGCCUGUUCUUGCCAGGUGG
RNAcentral lists this microRNA (23 nucleotides) under Pan troglodytes (chimpanzee). RNAcentral describes it as "ptr-miR-614". Its record names the gene ptr-miR-614. RNAcentral also lists the same sequence under 2 other names. The record is from miRBase by way of RNAcentral. Lineage: Eukaryota; Metazoa; Chordata; Mammalia; Primates; Hominidae.